AGCCUACGGGACGCAGCAGUCGGGAAUAUUGCACAAUGGAGGAAACUCUGAUGCAGUGACACCGCGUAUAGGAAGAAGGUUUUCGGAUUGUAAACUAUUUUAGACAGGGAAGAAAAAAGACAGUACCUGUAGAAUAAGCCACGGCUAACUACGUGCCAGCAGCCGCGGUGAUACGUAGGUGGCAAGCGUUAUCCGGAUUUAUUGGGUGUAAAGGGCGUGUAGGCGGGAACGCAAGUCAGAUGUGAAAACUCAGGGCUCAACCCUGAGCCUGCAUUUGAAACUGUGUUUCUUGAGUGCUGGAGAGG
RNAcentral lists this ribosomal RNA (305 nucleotides) under uncultured bacterium. Its description in RNAcentral is "bacterial SSU rRNA". It matches the Rfam family "Bacterial small subunit ribosomal RNA", at positions 335 to 657 of the family's 1533-position model. The record is from RNAcentral.